This 884-nucleotide ribosomal RNA is filed under the name fungal sp. CBS 244.33. RNAcentral's name for it is "LSU rRNA". It matches the Rfam family "Eukaryotic large subunit ribosomal RNA", at positions 87 to 973 of the family's 3401-position model. The record is from RNAcentral. Lineage: Eukaryota; Fungi.
CGGGGAGAGAAGCGGGAAGAGCUCAAAUUUAAAAUCUGGCUGUGUAUUCCGUCCGAGUUGUAGUCUAGAGAAGCAUCAUCCGUGCUGGACCAUGUACAAGUCUCUUGGAACAGAGCGUCAUAGAGGGUGAGAAUCCCGUCCUUGACAUGGACUCCCAGUACUUUGUGUUGUGCUCUCAACGAGUCGAGUUGUUUGGGAAUGCAGCUCAAAAUGGGUGGUAAAUUCCAUCUAAAGCUAAAUAUUGGCGAGAGACCGAUAGCGAACAAGUACCGUGAGGGAAAGAUGAAAAGCACUUUGGAGAGAGAGUUAAACAGUACGUGAAAUUGUUGAAAUGGAAACGCUUGAAGUCAGUCGCGUUCUCUGGGAUUCAGCCUUGCUUUUUGCUUGGUGCAUUUCCUAGUCUACGGGCCAACAUGAAUUUCGACCGGUGGAAAAAGGCAGAGGGAAUGUGGCACCUCCGGGUGUGUUAUAGCCCUUUGUCAGACACGCCGGUUGGGAUUGAGGUCUUUCAAGUGCACGCUUUUAGUUGUGCUUUGAUGUUGGCGUAAUGGCUUUAAACGACCCGUCUUGAAACACGGACCAAGGAGUCUAACAUGUCUGCGAGUGUUUGGGUGAAAAACCCAUGCGCGUAAUGAAAGUGAUAAGUUGGGAACCCUUCACGGGGGGCACCGACGCCCGGACCAGACCUUCUGUGACGGAUCCGAGGUAGAGCAUAUAUGUUGGGACCCGAAAGAUGGUGAACUAUGCCUGCAUAGGGUGAAGCCAGAGGAAACUCUGGUGGAGGCUCGUAGCGAUUCUGACGUGCAAAUCGAUCGUCAAAUGUGGGUAUAGGGGCGAAAGACUAAUCGAACCAUCUGGUACCUGGUUCCUGCCGAAAUUCCCCU